GUGAACCUGCGGAAGGAUCUUG
Molecule: ribosomal RNA, 22 nt
Filed under: Belemia fucsioides
Lineage: Eukaryota; Viridiplantae; Streptophyta; Magnoliopsida; Caryophyllales; Nyctaginaceae
Also listed under: 1 other name
Description: partial 18S ribosomal RNA
Source: RNAcentral